UUGUGUUUAAUCAACUUAAACGGUUUAAUUUUAAACUUUACUUAAUUAUCAAUCGUUAAACUAACGUAAAGGGUUUAAUUUCGUAAUUCAAAAAAAACCGGAAGUGACGAUUUCCAACGCAUUUGAUGACGGUGCAGAGGGGAGCAAGAGGUGGUACCAGUCAGAUUUGUGCAGAAUUUGACACAUACAGAAUUACCUUAGGCCCAUCAGAAUCAACAAUCUUUGCCAAACUGGAUCCAGACUGCAAAACUUAUGAAGAUGUUUGCAUAAUGAAGAAGAGUCCUUGGACAAAUAAUGAAACCCUCUUGGUGCCCACUACACAUGCAGGGGUGUCCAGACCUGCUCUAGGAAAGCCAGUCUUCUGUGGGGUUCAGCUCUAACACACCUGCCUGGAACUUCAGACUAAUGAAAUUGAAGUAUCCAAAUGAAGACCCUAGCAGUAUGGAGUAUAUGGAUACAGACGUUGCCAGCAGUCAGGAGGUGAUCCAGAAGACUCGUGGAAAUCUAUCUGAAGCUGCAUCAUUGAAGACAGUCCAGCAGAUGUUGGAGUUUUAAAGGAUACAGUUCUUCAGGACCUAUAGCAGUUUACAGUCUGCAAAACCAUGUUGCUGGGACUGAUUUAUGGACUGAACUUGAGCAACCCUCCUGAACUCAGGUACACAUUUGGAAUACUGAAGAAGUUAUUUCUGGAGCCAGUUCCUGUUCCUGGAAUAAGGUUUGAUUGGUUGCCCAUGAAUGCCAAUUAGAAUUUUAUUUGCUAUUUUGUGUAAUUUUGUAAUGUGGUUUAAACUAUA
This is a long non-coding RNA of Carassius auratus (goldfish), 794 nucleotides long. RefSeq lists it as uncharacterized. The record is from RefSeq and is a predicted model, not a curated record. NCBI's taxonomy places the organism in Eukaryota, Metazoa, Chordata, Actinopteri, Cypriniformes, Cyprinidae. The transcript is spliced from 5 exons.